Molecule: long non-coding RNA, 290 nt
Organism: Hemiscyllium ocellatum (epaulette shark)
Lineage: Eukaryota; Metazoa; Chordata; Chondrichthyes; Orectolobiformes; Hemiscylliidae
Exons: 4
Source: RefSeq, a predicted model, not a curated record
GGAGUUCAGCUGUGGGCUGUGUGAAAACAGGCUGCUAAACUCUCUCUCCUUCUGUCCUUCUACUUUGACCUACGGCAGUUAAGAGUCAACCUCAUUGCUGUGGGUCUGGAGACCAGACCAGACAGAAUCAUGGAUGCUAAACAAAUAAAGGAAACAAAUCGGGAGGUUUUGGACAACAUACAUACUAGAAAGGAGAUGUCUGCAGCCUUAAAAGCAAGGCAAAUCGUCCUUCACGUGGAACAACUUGUUUUGUUUAAAUUUAAGACCCAUGUUUUUGGAUUGUUGAAAAU